Molecule: non-coding RNA, 2152 nt
Organism: Nicotiana tabacum (common tobacco)
Lineage: Eukaryota; Viridiplantae; Streptophyta; Magnoliopsida; Solanales; Solanaceae
Source: RefSeq, a predicted model, not a curated record
UUAGCCCUUAUGCCCCACCAAAUAUCAGAACUAGGUUUUCUCAAAACAUUUCUCCAUACGCCUGCCCUCUUCUCAAGAGUAGAUUUUGACUUCUUCCUAUUUGUGUCAAAGAUUAACUUUUAUAAGCUCUGCCACAAAGAUGUACACUCUAUUUUUGUACAAAUCUUGCAAUUUCGACCGUUUUUGAACGGCUAUUUUGACUUUCAAAAUGGCUAAUUUGAAAUCCCGACCCUAGAGUUACCUCUAUAAAUACUCGCGUCUGGAAGCAAUUUUGGGACCAUCUUUGGCCGCUGCUGCUAACCUUGAUACUCACUUGCUCUUCGCUCAUUUUGUUUACCUCUUUAAAACUGCUCUAAAAAACUUAGCUUCUCAGCCUUUGUUGGUUUCUUAACCGAAACAGAGGCAUUUUGCUGUUCAUUCCGGCAUUUAACGGCAGUUCGAGUUAGCGCUUUCGUGGUCGGAGUUCGGUAGAUGUGAGAUACAAAGCCAACGCCUCAGUUUACUGCCCCGAAAUAGCAUAGUCCCAUAUAGGAGCUCCAUGGCGUCUACGGUGUUGGUCGAUAUCCGAAAGGUCUUCUGAAGGGAUUGACAUAUUGACAAAUCUCCAAUGCAAACAUACUCCGCAAAAGCAACCACAAAUACACCACAAUCGCUGCAUAAGACAAUUUUUUUUUAAUUAUUUAACAAAUGAUUAUAAAAAAAUAAUUAAACAUCCAGAAAGAGAAUGAUUUUUUUACAGUGAUCCUUCCUUUUGCUGUGGAAUCUCUGCAACCAUCCACUGUAUGUUGAGAGGGUCUGUAACUGGUUUCUCAAUGUAUGCCUUUAUGGUCUUGAAGUCAAUGGCUUUACGCUUCCCGUAGAAACCAGUGCAAAACAAAUACAGAGGGAUAAUGAUUGAAAACUUAUCAACACAUGAUUCAACAACCAAUGGAAAUUCUCUACAAUGUUCACGGGCAUGAUGACAUAGUCAACUUCAUCCCAGGCAACAUUAGCAAGGAGUCUAUACCCAAGAAUAUAUUCUGCAACAUCAUCAUCGGGUUUAAUAACCGAUGAUAUGCACAGUCCCCAAUUCACGGAGUGACUGUAGGAACUCAGACAGAACAUGUCAUUGAGAAACAGCUAAAUGAAGGUGAAGAUGUACAUCAUGUGGAUGAAGUUGUUUCUGAAGUUGUUUCUGGAUGACUUUGAGUUGCCAGACAAUUUAACACAUUGGUUAAGUAUGGCCAGCCCGUACCAGAUGAAGCAACCCCUAUUCAUCCGGGGAGAACCAGGCAACCGGGGAAACAUGCACGAUCACCUUUCAUACCGCUAUAUAGUUCUGGAGGCAGCAGCUCUAUUGGACCUAAAUUUUUCUACCUCAAGCACCCAUUCACAACUCUUAUAAGUGAAAAUGUAGAUUUUGAUAUGUUAGAUAAGUUCAACAAGUGGUUAUACCACUGAAUUGACGAAGUAUCUAAGAGGAAGAAGGCUCCCUUUUCCAUAAAAGAAGGACUGGUUUUAUUCCCUUGCUCACCUCGGGGGAGUCCUCAAUGACUCGCACAUUGAUGCUAUUAUGUAUUACAAUCGCUUGUUCAAGUCAAAUAUUGUACAAAUCUAUGACAAGUUUAUAAGUUCUCCGCCAGAAAAAAAGUAUUCGGUUAUUAAACCUGAUGAUGAUGUUGCAGAAUAUAUUCUUGGGAAGCGUAAAGCCAUUGACUUCAAGACCACAAAGGCAUACAUUGAGAAACCAGUUACAGACCCUCUCAACAUACAGUGGAUGGUUGCAGAGAUUCCACAGCAAAAGGAAAGAUCACUCGAUUGUGGUGUAUUUAUGGCUGCUUUUGCGGAGUAUGUUUGCAUUGGAGAUUUGUCAAUCAAUCCCUUCAGUAGAUCUUUCGGAUAUCGACCAACACCGUAGACGCUAUAAAGCUCAUAUGGGACUAUGCUACAAAGAAGCAAGAAAGAUGGGUCAAUCAGUGAAAGUGAGGUUACAUGCAGGCUAGCAAGGAGGAAGGGUGCUCCUGCAAUAGUGUCCUGUUUUCCUAGUUUAGUUGAUGCCAAUUUGUAGUUGAAGAAAGUAGUGAGGUUACACUACUUUAUGAACAAUUUUUUUUAUUGCAGCAUACCUUUUUUUUUUGUAAUUUUACAAAUAAUCUCCACAAUAUCUACAUUU